CGGCCUAACCGCAAGGAAGGAGGCNCCUAAGGUGAGAUCGAUGACUGGGGCG
RNAcentral lists this ribosomal RNA (52 nucleotides) under uncultured bacterium. RNAcentral describes it as "partial 16S ribosomal RNA". The record is from RNAcentral.